RNAcentral lists this ribosomal RNA (340 nucleotides) under uncultured bacterium. Its description in RNAcentral is "bacterial SSU rRNA". It matches the Rfam family "Bacterial small subunit ribosomal RNA", at positions 28 to 349 of the family's 1533-position model. The record is from RNAcentral.
GAUGAACGCUGGCGGCGUGCCUAACACAUGCAAGUCGAACGGAGUUAUGCAGAGGAAGUUUUCGGAUGGAAUCGGCGUAACUUAGUGGCGGACGGGUGAGUAACGCGUGGGAAACCUGCCCUGUACCGGGGGAUAACACUUAGAAAUAGGUGCUAAUACCGCAUAAGCGCACAGCUUCACAUGAGGCAGUGUGAAAAACUCCGGUGGUACAGGAUGGUCCCGCGUCUGAUUAGCCAGUUGGCAGGGUAACGGCCUACCAAGCGACGGAUCAGUAGCCGCCGUGAGAGGGUGAACGGCCGACAGUUGGGACUGAGACACGGCCCAAACUCCUACGGGAGGC